This 440-nucleotide ribosomal RNA is filed under the name uncultured bacterium. RNAcentral's name for it is "bacterial SSU rRNA". It matches the Rfam family "Bacterial small subunit ribosomal RNA", at positions 338 to 795 of the family's 1533-position model. The record is from RNAcentral.
CCUACGGGAGGCAGCAGUGGGGAAUAUUGCACAAUGGGGGGAACCCUGAUGCAGCAAAGCCGCGUGAGCGAUGAAGGCCUUCGGGUCGUAAAGCUCUGUCCUAAGGGAAGAAUACUGACGGUACCUUAGGAGGAAGCCCCGGCUAACUACGUGCCAGCAGCUGCGGUAAUACGUAGGGGGCUAGCGUUAUCCGGAAUUACUGGGCGUAAAGGGUUCGUAGGCGGCACUUCAAGUCAGAGGUGAAAUGCUACGGCUCAACCGUAAUAAGCCUUUGAAACUGUAGGGCUUGAGUGGAGGAAAGGGGAGAGGAAUUCACAGUUGAGCGGUGAAAUGCGUAGAUAAUGUGAGGAAACGCAGUUGCUAAGUCGGCUCUCUAGACUGUAACUGACGCUGAGGCCCGAAAGCGUGGGGAGCGAACAGGAUUAGAUGCCCUUUUAGUC